GAUGAAGAACGCAGUGAAAUGCGAUAACUAGUGUGAAUUGCAGAAUUCCGUGAAUCAUCGAGUCUUUGAACGCACAUUGCGCCCCCUGGUAUUCCGGGGGGCAUGCCUGUCCGAGCGUCAUUGCUGCCCAUCAAGCACGGCUUGUGUGUUGGGUCGUCGUCCCCUCUCCGGGGGGGACGGGCCCCAAAGGCAGCGGCGGCACCGCGUCCGAUCCUCGAGCGUAUGGGGCUUUGUCACCCGCUCUGUAGGCCCGGCCGGCGCUUGCCGAACGCAAAUCAAUCUUUUUCCAGGUUGACCUCGGAUUAGGUAGGGAUACCCGCUGAACUUAAGCAUAUCAAUAAGCGGAGGA
Molecule: unclassified non-coding RNA, 349 nt
Filed under: soil metagenome
Description: partial contains 5.8S ribosomal RNA, internal transcribed spacer 2, and large subunit ribosomal RNA
Rfam family: 5.8S ribosomal RNA (bases 1-120)
Source: RNAcentral